This 489-nucleotide ribosomal RNA is filed under the name uncultured bacterium. RNAcentral's name for it is "bacterial SSU rRNA". It matches the Rfam family "Bacterial small subunit ribosomal RNA", at positions 28 to 507 of the family's 1533-position model. The record is from RNAcentral.
GAUGAACGCUAGCUACAGGCCUAACACAUGCAAGUCGAGGGGAAACGGCAGCUUAGCUCGCUAAGCUGGACGUCGACCGGCGCACGGGUGAGUAACGCGUAUCCAACCUUCCCGCAAGUAAGGGAUAACCCGUAGAAAUGCGGCCUAAUACCUUAUGUUUUCCUUAGAGGGCAUCUGAUGAGGAACAAAGAUCCGUCGCUUGCGGAUGGGGAUGCGUCUGAUUAGUUAGUCGGCGGGGUAACGGCCCACCGAGACGACGAUCAGUAGGGGUUCUGAGAGGAAAGUCCCCCACAUUGGAACUGAGACACGGUCCAAACUCCUACGGGAGGCAGCAGUGAGGAAUAUUGGUCAAUGGACGCAAGUCUGAACCAGCCAAGUAGCGUGCAGGAUGACGGCCCUAUGGGUUGUAAACUGCUUUUAUGCGGGGAUAAAGUUAGGGAUGUAUCCCUUUUGCAGGUACCGCAUGAAUAAGGACCGGCUAAUUCCGUG